ACGGAGGAUCCAAGCGUUAUCCGGAUUUAUUGGGUUUAAAGGGUGCGUAGGCGGACCUUUAAGUCAGUGGUGAAAGUUUGCGGCUUAACCGUAAAAUUGCCAUUGAAACUGAAGGUCUUGAGUGUAAAUGAGGUAGGCGGAAUGUGUUGUGAAGCGGUGUAAUGCUUAGAGAUAGCACAGAACGCCAAUUGCGAAGGCAGCUUGCUAGAAUACAACUGACGCUGAGCCGCGAAAGCGUGCUGAUCAAACAG
Molecule: ribosomal RNA, 251 nt
Filed under: uncultured prokaryote
Description: partial 16S rRNA
Rfam family: Bacterial small subunit ribosomal RNA
Source: RNAcentral